UAAAACAGUUUUGCUGCAUUCAUCUGUCGCUGUAGCUCUGCCGCCUUCCAGGUUUCUGCUUUGGUCUUAAGGUGACAUUUGAAAAUUCUUCCAGGACAAUUAUCGUUGUUUCCUUUAAGAUUUGCUGACACUCUUUUUCAUUUAUUUAUUUCUGUUUUAAGGUGCUUAAGAUACACAUGUCACAUGUGUAUUUUACACGGAACACUUUCAUUUCUUGCUUUUUAAAGUCCUUUUCAAAUCUGUUUUCUGGGGCUGGAGCGAUGGCUCGGUGGUUUAGGGCUCGGUGGUUUAGAGCAUUUACUGCUCUUCCGAAGAAACAAGGUUUGGUUUCCUGCACUCAUGAUGGCCAUGAACUCACCAUCUGAAAUAAAGUGAUGGUAAUACGAAACAGGGCCUCUGAGGAGCAAUUGGGCCACGAUAGAGGACUUCAUGAAUGGCACUGUUGCUCUGAGAGAAGAGGCUCCAGAGAUCUGCCGGGCCCCUCUGUCAUGCAAGGAUGCAACACGGCAAUACCAUGUGUCUGGACUGAAGCUCUAAAUUUGACAGCACUUUGACCUCAAAUGUCCUGCAUUGUGCAACUAUGAGGAAUAAUUGUUUACUGUUCAUGACCCACACAGUUUCUGUGAGUUUUGUGAGUGUGGCUUGAAUGAACUCUUCCUGACUAUCAACUUGAAUUCUGCUAGGAGAUGCACACAGCACCGGGGCAGAGGAACGACCAUGCUGGAGGGGGUGGUCACCAUAAGUGCUAUGCCGCUGUUUCUUCUGAAUUGAGACUCACGAGCUCAAAAGCUGAAUAAAACCUUUAAGACUCUGGAAGUCAAUACAACUUAAGAAGCUGGAAAGUGUGGAAGAUUCACAAGGCUUUCCCUCAAGGUCGUAUAUACAGUAAACAACGGCUGGGGGUCGCUGGGGAGUGGAGACUCUUCAGUGGACUUGACUGCAAGAUGUGCUCUCAGGACGUAGCUGCUUUUAAGUGAUCUGUGUUGCUGUAGUUACUGCAGUAAAUUCACUGUCACCAAGCUAACAGGCAGAACCCUUCUUUGGCCUGUUAUUGAUGUUCUAACUGGGAUGAAUAGAGAUUUGUUCACGUCUCCAUAGGAAAAGCCACAAAACAAGUCUAGUGUAUUAGUUACUUUUGUAUUACUGUAACUAUCGUUCCAUGACAGAGGGUCUCAGUCAAUCACGUUGGAGAGGACACAAUGGAGUAGCUGAGACCAUUUUGGCAAGAGUAUGUGGUAGAAACUUUUCAUAUCACAAUGGGCCGGGAAGCAGAAAGCAUGACGGGCAGUUGGCAGGGAUGGCAUACCCACAAUAACCUACCCCCUGUAACUUACUCCUUAGAGGUAGACCCAUCUUCCCAAGGCUUCAGGGACUACCUAAAACAACACCAUCAGGGGACAUGCACUCAAAACAGGAGGCUGUGACAGACACUUCAGAUUCAAAUCAUCACACCAAGCUUUGGAACAAAGCUUCCAAAGAAGCCAACCCUACUGGCACACUUCAUUUAUACUUUAGAUCGCAAGCCUGCCAAAAGUAAAUCUAUGUUGCUUAAUAUACUCAGUCUCUGGUAUUUUAUUAUGGCAGCCAGAACAAGCCAAACCACUUCAUGUUCAAACAAAUUCACAGUUAUUAGGCAGUGAAUUAUACCCAUGCCCUCCCCCAAUCUGUUGAAGCCCUAUGCCUGUCUUACUUAGAGGACCUUUAACAGAGGUAAUUCAGAUUAAAUGAAGUUCUAAGGGUGAUGCCCUAAGACAACAGGGCAGGGACAUUGAGGGCACUCCUUCUUGCCUUUGUUCUCUUUUUCUCUCUCUUCUCCUCUUCUGUUUUUUCUUCUCCCCCUUCCCCCUUCCUCUCUCUCUCUCUCUCUCUCUCUCUCUCUCUCUCUCUCUCUCUCUCUCUCUCUCUCUCUCAGACCAUGUGAGGAUACAGUGUUAGAUGUGCAUAUGAGCCAGGAAGGGAGAUCUAAUGAGACCCCUACCCUGCAGGCUUCUGGUGCUUUAACGUGAACUUUUCUUGUGAACUCUCAUCUCUGAGAAAGCACAGUAUGCUGCCUCAGCACCCAGCCUGCAGUCCUGUCUCGUACCAGCACUGGCAGAACAGUGUGCUUCCCAAGUUCAUACUCAUUCUAAGUUCCCAGGUGGUUUCCAUAUGUACCUCACGGAAAAUGAAACCUUUCAAAGUCAGCAUUCUAACGAAGCAAGAGAGGCCAUCAACAAGGGCUGUGGAUAGAUCCUGUUUACUUUGAUUUGGCUCAUGUUCAUCUUUCUUUGGAUGUAAUUUCAAAAAUAGUCACCCUAUAUCCUCUGCCAAGGCAGAGUCUGGGAAAGGUAAGAAAAGGGUUCUGCUAAUUCUUCUGUUCAGCGUUUGGAUUGAAGCUGUAACUGGAGACUCUGAAAUCACUGAGGCCCUUAACCUCCCCUCACUCUCCCCACCCUCAGCUUGAUCUCAGAGGGGCAGCCCCCUUGCCUUGCCUUUCGUGUUCCAGAAUGUGGCCAAGACCAAGAAAAGAAAAUGACCACUCCUGAUGCUGGAGGCUCUGAGUUCAGCCAGUUCACCCUGGUCACAGAGAACGGAGACAGAGUUGGGUUUCUUGCAUCUGUUCCAUGACCUUCCCCUGCCACUGGCUUUGCACAGAGCCUCGAACACUCGAGGCCACCAAUGCCACAGCGCUUGGGAGGUCAGGAGAAUCUGAGAGUCUGUCACUUGGCUGAUAUGGUGGUUACCCAAACUAAAGAAAGCAUGACCUUUUAACUGCUUUCUUAACCUCAAACCUGUGUGGUUUGAUUAAGAAGAGGGUAUUUCCACCUUCCCAGUAGAAAGCAAAAAAUGCAAAAACUGAUUCAACUUUCAAAAGGCUCAAACCUGGUACAAUAACUCAUGGACACGCCGUAAAAUAUAUGACCUGUUUUGGCAGAUAAAAUGGAAGCAUCAAGUUAAGACAUUUAAAAAUCAUAGAAUAGCUGACAGCAACACUACCCACCCCCUCACUCCCCCACCCUCUACCCCCUAACCCCCUCUGUCCUGGAACUCAUUAUGUAGCCCAAGCUGGCCUCACACUCACGGCACUCCACCCGCCAUAGCCUCCCAGAUGCUGCCAUUACAGGCAUGAGCCACCACACCCAUCGUAAAUAAGGUAAUGCAGCUAGGUAACAUCACUUUUUCUCCAGCAGAGAGAGGGGUGAACCCAAGUUCUCACAAAUGUUAGAUGACCUCUCUAGCCACCGAGUCACAUCCCCACACAACUUCCUUUGUAUCCGUUCACAAAUGACAGCUAUUCAUUUUUUUUUUUUUUGAAAUCCUGCAGGCAUGGAACAGUGAAAGUAUUUGUCAAUAAAUUCCUGCAGAAAGUUCGUCAAGUUUUUCUGUAUGGAAGUCUACAGACUGCGCAAUGAGCAACAAUCUGUUUCUAUGGUCUGUGUUUUAGACCAGGUUUUACCUGAGCAAUGGAUAGCUAUGAUAUGUUGAAUUUGGGUAAUAACUGAAAUUCAUAACUAUCAUAAAACCAUCCUAUGCCACUACACCAUGCAAUAUUGUUAUGCCUGUCACCCUAAUACAUCUUCCUAUGGGCCUUUUGUUGAAAUAACAUUUUCCUGAUAAAAUUUAAAUGAAUGCAUUAAAAAGCAGAUGUCAGUUUCCACAAAA
Peromyscus californicus insignis is the source of this 3642-nucleotide long non-coding RNA. RefSeq lists it as uncharacterized. NCBI's taxonomy places the organism in Eukaryota, Metazoa, Chordata, Mammalia, Rodentia, Cricetidae. The record is from RefSeq and is a predicted model, not a curated record. The transcript is spliced from 3 exons.